GGGGGCGUUACGGAUUCGACGACGGUAACAAAACCUGCGGUGCAUGCCGUGAUGGUAGCCAAUCACGUAAAUCCAAAGCUGCAAACUAUUAGUUGCCAAUGAUGACAACUACGAGGUAGCGCUGGCUGCGUAAGCAGUCAUCAAUACUUCAUCUAGUGGCUUCGGCCCUAGCGGUCUUUAGCAAGGUUCCAGCCCCGCGUUACUGACUGUCAUAUAGAACUGGAUCGCAGCGAAGCAGGCUCCGGGCCUAGCUGCUAAAAAAUUACGGAGAUCGCCAAUCACGUCCUGCCCGUUGGGCUGUGUGCGGCUAGAUUAAUCAACGGGAUCUAAGCAUGUAGAGCCAAUGGCAGAGUGCUGGCGGACGCGGGUUCAACUCCCGCCGCCUCCACCA
This 391-nucleotide transfer-messenger RNA is filed under the name bacterium. It matches the Rfam family "transfer-messenger RNA". From Rfam's summary of the family: Bacterial tmRNA, also known as 10Sa RNA or SsrA, is named for its dual tRNA and mRNA-like properties. Its role is to liberate the mRNA from a stalled ribosome. The record is from RNAcentral.